AUACGUAGGGGGCGAGCGUUGUCCGGAAUGAUUGGGCGUAAAGGGCGCGUAGGCGGCCCGGUAAGUCUGGAGUGAAAGUCCUGUUUUUAAGAUGGGAAUUGCUUUGGAUACUGUCGGGCUUGAGUGCAGGAGAAGUAAGUGGAAUUCCCAGUGUAGCGGUGAAAUGCGCAGAGAUUGGGAGGAACACCAGUGGCGAAGGCGACUUACUGGACUGUAACUGACGCUGAGGCGCGAAAGUGUGGGGAGCAAACAGGAUUAGAUACCCUGGUAGUCCACACUGUAAACGAUGAAUGCUAGGUGUAGGGGGUAUCGACCCCUUCUGUGCCGCAGUCAACACAAUAAGCAUUCCGCCUGGGGAGUACGGCCGCAAGGUUGAAACUUAAAGGAAUUGACGGGG
This 397-nucleotide ribosomal RNA is filed under the name uncultured bacterium. Its description in RNAcentral is "partial 16S ribosomal RNA". It matches the Rfam family "Bacterial small subunit ribosomal RNA", at positions 523 to 918 of the family's 1533-position model. The record is from RNAcentral.